Molecule: ribosomal RNA, 243 nt
Filed under: uncultured bacterium
Lineage: Bacteria
Description: partial 16S ribosomal RNA
Rfam family: Bacterial small subunit ribosomal RNA
Source: RNAcentral
GAUCCUGGCUCAGGAUGAACGCUAGCUACAGGCUUAACACAUGCAAGUCGAGGGGCAGCAUGAUUGAAGCUUGCUUCAAUCGAUGGCGACCGGCGCACGGGUGAGUAACACGUAUCCAACCUGCCGAUAACUCGGGGAUAGCCUUUCGAAAGAAAGAUUAAUACCCGAUAGCAUAGUUUCCCCGCAUGGGGUUACUAUUAAAGGAUUCCGGUUAUCGAUGGGGAUGCGUUCCAUUAGGCUAGG